Molecule: ribosomal RNA, 120 nt
Filed under: uncultured bacterium
Lineage: Bacteria
Description: partial 16S ribosomal RNA
Rfam family: Bacterial small subunit ribosomal RNA
Source: RNAcentral
UCGCUGAAGGAUCGGCCCGCGUCUGAUUAGCUAGUUGGUGGGGUAAUGGCUCACCAAGGCGACGAUCAGUAGCUGGUCUGAGAGGAUGAUCAGCCUCACUGGGACUGAGACACGGCCCAG